Molecule: non-coding RNA, 30 nt
Filed under: Homo sapiens (human)
Lineage: Eukaryota; Metazoa; Chordata; Mammalia; Primates; Hominidae
Source: RNAcentral
UAGCUUAAAUUGUGUAUACAGUCAAAUAAA